RNAcentral lists this long non-coding RNA (4066 nucleotides) under Gallus gallus (chicken). Lineage: Eukaryota; Metazoa; Chordata; Aves; Galliformes; Phasianidae. The record is from RNAcentral.
CAACUCUCCUCAGGAGCUGGCAGAAGCCCCUCACCUUGCAGUGUACUGAAUAAGGACUGAAAGGUCAGAAGAAAGCAAAAAAGGUCGAGAUGAUUGCAGCUGCAGGAUAUACACCUUCCUGCUCUGGCCUUUGGCGCAGACAACCUGUGUUUAGUUAGUGCUUGCAAAUAAUGGAAUGAGCAUUUACAGAUGUUUUUGAAAAUAAGGUUUUGUAACUAACAAACAAUGAAAAAAGCAGUCUGUUGCAUCACUAAGAUUAAUGUGUACACUGAUAUGGUCAAUGCUCACAUACAUAAGAGGCCCACAGGAAGCCUGUCUGAAGAGUUCAUGAACAUGUUUCAAUGCACAAUUACCUCAGAGUUCCUCAGAGUAGGCAUCUGUACUCACCAGACUGGCAUCGAUACCUGGCAGUCACUUGUGGCACAUAUGGUGCUCCAUUUUACAGCUUCUGGAUUCCCACUGUAGGCAAACUGAAGCCAUCCUUAUACUGCAAGGUAAUAAGGAAAGAAAAUGCUGCCAUCUGAUCACCAACUCUACUAGCAAUAGAAGGUAAUUGCCCACAGGAACUUACUGUAAACCUAUGUUUGAAUUCUGGACAGAAAUAAGAAGAAAAUUUAAGCCAACAAGAAAAUGUUACACGUCCCUUGAGAGAGAAAUUGGUUAAAAGACAUCUGGGAGUAAACAUUUAAAUUUUCACUUGAGCUGACCUAUUUACUGUUACACUUUCUACUACUAUUUCAGUCAAUUACUGCAAUUAUUCAGUGAAAAACAGAUUCAUUAACUGUGUUCCAUAAAUAAAAUCAAGCUAAGCUUAUUUUCUAAUCACUGAUCAUUGUUUUUAGACUUGCAGGGUGGAGAUGAAUACAUUAAAUAUCAGUGCUCUGUGUUUAUCAGGCUAUACUUAUCACUUUUCAUUUAAGCCUAGUGUCACAUUAUGAAAUUAAAUCACCCUCUAUCACAAGCCUAUAAAAGAACUAAAAAUUGGAAAUAUGCAAAACAGUUCAGCAGGAUGGAGACAGGACAGGAAUAUUUUCUGGUUCUAGCCAGAAAUGGAUAGCUGCUAUAAUACUUAAGUUACAGAGCUGCAUGAAGGAUCUUUAAUAGCAGAGGCUGAAAGUUGGAUUGUCCAUGAACAGAUUUACCCUCAGCUCAGCAGCUGGGAACAGUGAAUUUGUGUCUUAUGUAGCCAUUACUGGCAGUAUCCCAGUUAGAAAAAACAUAGAAUAGCUUAUGCUUUAUAUCUGUUAAUAUAAGUACUCGUAUGGAGCAAAGUUAAUGCAAGUCUGGUUUUCUGGUGGCAAUUCUUUGCUUAGUUAUUAGAAUCAGUGGUGAGCAAAAAAUCAUUCAUUAAGGAAUGUUUUGUAUGAAUAGUUACUAUAGGAAGCAAAUUAGCUGUCAUGACUAUAAGAACAUAGGCAUCUUAGACAUUCUUGCUCUUUGGGAGAACAACAUCCUACUUAGUUUUCCACGUACUGAAAUAUAAUCUUUGCAAAAUCAGUCGAUACUCUGUAAAGGAUAGCUUAGAUGCCUUCACGUGGCUACAUCCUUAGGACUCAGCCAAAAUUUGAGUUUUUGCAGGCUACUUCUGAGCAAACUGUCAUUGGAGUGGCAUAUUUCUAAGGAUCUUCUGCUCAGUUUAGAAUUUCUGCCAUUUCAAAGGAAAAAAACCCUAUUGUCAACAGUUCCAGCUGUCAGUAGCCUGCAACUGAUAUCAUGAGCUAAAAGCAGACUUCCUGGGCUCCUUGCAUGACAUCAUACUGGUGCUGGGUUGAAUUUUCUUUUCAGGAAGGUAUUCUCUGAAUUUUUGUUUCUAAGAUUCCAGAAAAAAAAAGUGUAUGCUUGGAAAGUAUUUAAAUUGCCAAGCAAUGUUAUACUCACAUGUAGAGAUGUGGAGAGGAAAGAAAAGGAGUAGAAAUACAUUUUUAGAAGCCUUAGCAAAUUAUCCUAUGACAGCAGUUACAAUCUCAGAGGCUCAACGUGAGCUAGAUGAGUUGUGUAUUUCCACAGAGAUGGAAAAAGCUGCUCCACACCAGCCCUGGUUCAAGUCUUCUUUCUUUUGGGACUCAAAUGACUUGAAGUGGUACCCAAUGAAAGCUACUUCUCGGAAUACUCCUUCUUAAAUUAUCAUCUUCACUAUUCUGCAGUUGACUGGCACUUCUGUCAAAGCAAAUUUGCAUGAUGUUAUAGCAGGUGUGAUUCCAGACCAAGUCUGUCUGUAUCCUGUUUGUGCUAUUCUCUUGGUUUAUAAGGUUCAAAUCCCAAAUCACCCUACAAAAGCCCUGCUGUUUCCCAUAUUCUGUAAGUUCAUUGUUCAAAGGUACAUUUAGAAGCAGAAGCCACAUUUUGGUGACAGAACAGGUGAAAGGGAGCUUGCUGUAUUGAUUGAAAGUCCAUCUAAUGAUGUACUGUAAGAAGUGAUGGGCAUUUAAUCGAUUGUUGAGUUCCAAGGAAUACAUUUUCUUACCAAAGUAAGUGGGAAGAUUCUCACCACAGCUUUUUCUUAUUCCAAAAUGAAAUUACUCUGUGAUUAAAAUAAUCUGUUAUUAGAUUCUCUACAGUUCACUGAAUCAAAGUGAAGAGAGGAUUUGGUGAAGGAGGAUUGAGUUCAGAGCACAGUUUAUGCAGGGUGACUGUAUACAAUAGAGGAAUACCUUAGCUUAAAAAGGAACAGUUUUUUACUUGCAAAAAAGUUAUUUUCACUUGAAACUUGCUAUCUGCUUGUGUGUACAUCCACAGAACUCUGUGUAGGCAUUCUGCAUUAUUGUAACUUUCAUAAAUGCAUGUAGAAACGCCAAAAAUGUUGGUCAGGCCCCACGUGUCUGAAUUGUGACAACCAUGAGUAAAUGCUUUCUUCAUCUAACCAGUGUUCAGUGGAAGUGUUUGGAGGAAUGUGAUGGCUCAUUGUGGUAGGGCUAUCUCAGACAUUUUAACGAUUUCAAGCUUUAUUUCAAGGGAUAAUUUUUCACUUCAUAAACCAAAUAGUAUUCAUGCAGACCUCCCAAGGGUACAGAUUAGAGAAACAGCCACUAGGCAGAGAUGGUAAAUGUGACAAAUGGACUCAUGGAGUCUGUAACACAGAGCAUGGAUUUUGAAUGAAUUAAUAUUAAUAACAAGAAAAUUAAAGAUUCGUUCUGGAGAUGAGAAGUACUGCUGCUACUGAAUUUUCAAAAAAUUGGGAAUCGCUUUUGCUUUCACUACUAAAAAUAAAAGACAGUUGAACAAAACUGUGUUCCCAGAGUAGCUAGCUGUGUACCGUCACUCCUUAAUCUUCUUUUAAAAAUGAUUAAGUGAUAUGGGUUUUGGUUUUGUUUUAGAUUUGUUUAAGGUGCGUCUCCCUGUUGUGUUUGUCCUCCCUUAAACUCUGUCACUGUUGUAACAUCGUUUUACAACAGCUGGUAACAGGAUAGGGUACAGUAACUCAGUUGUACUACCAGUGUCAGCUGGUACAAAAUACGUGGAAAGUAGAUUGUGCAGUUGUAGUGGAAAUGAUACUGUGGGAAUAAAGUGCCAUGUUUCUUUCUGGCUCAGACUCUGUGAUAUAAAACUGUAACGGUGAAUUCUCACUCUCUUUCUGCUUGAUUAAGGGACAGACUUGCAGCUAACUGGUGAGUAAUGAAACAAAACUGUGCCAACUUUCUGAAGGCCUCAGAACAAAGCUGUACUGUAACACUCUUGUGAAAAGUGCACAACAAACACAUGCCCAAGCACAGUGGAGAAGCCAGGAGUUUGUUGUCUUGUUUGAGGUGGUUUUGGGUCUCCCCCAGCCAUGACCUCCCUUACCAACAUGCAAAGAGAAAAGCACAGCCAGCAGGGCAUGCGCACGGCGCAUGAUACCAGAUACUCUCCACCUGCCAACAUCUCCUGGCUCAUUUGGAGGGGAUCAUCAUAUGGCAUAAAAGGCAUUGCCAUUGCACAGCUGGCAGUGCAUGCCUUACCGCAUCCUCAACCAACCUAGAAGACGGAGAAGGAGGGUGAAUCCUCAGGACAUCAUGGGAACCGUAGUGUUCACUUGCUUUUCUUUCCUUUCCUUUUUCCUCUUUCUCCUUUGCUUCUGUUUACUUUUUCC